This 464-nucleotide ribosomal RNA is filed under the name Vreelandella stevensii. RNAcentral's name for it is "partial 16S ribosomal RNA". It matches the Rfam family "Bacterial small subunit ribosomal RNA", at positions 338 to 794 of the family's 1533-position model. The record is from RNAcentral. Lineage: Bacteria; Pseudomonadati; Pseudomonadota; Gammaproteobacteria; Oceanospirillales; Halomonadaceae.
CCUACGGGAGGCAGCAGUGGGGAAUAUUGGACAAUGGGCGAAAGCCUGAUCCAGCCAUGCCGCGUGUGUGAAGAAGGCCUUCGGGUUGUAAAGCACUUUCAGUGGGGAAGAAAGCCUUGGGGCUAAUACCCUCGAGGAAGGACAUCACCCACAGAAGAAGCACCGGCUAACUCCGUGCCAGCAGCCGCGGUAAUACGGAGGGUGCGAGCGUUAAUCGGAAUUACUGGGCGUAAAGCGCGCGUAGGCGGUCUGAUAAGCCGGUUGUGAAAGCCCCGGGCUCAACCUGGGAACGGCAUCCGGAACUGUCAGGCUAGAGUGCAGGAGAGGAAGGUAGAAUUCCCGGUGUAGCGGUGAAAUGCGUAGAGAUCGGGAGGAAUACCAGUGGCGAAGGCGGCCUUCUGGACUGACACUGACGCUGAGGUGCGAAAGCGUGGGUAGCAAACAGGAUUAGAUACCCGGGUAGC